UCCAGACUCCUACGGGAGGCAGCAGUGAGGAAUAUUGGUCAAUGGCCGCAGGGCUGAACCAGCCAAGUCGCGUGAGGGAUGACGGUCCUAUGGAUUGUAAACCUCUUUUGUCAGGGAGCAAAGGGCGCCACGUGUGGCGCUUUGCGAGUACCUGAAGAAAAAGCAUCGGCUAACUCCGUGCCAGCAGCCACGGUAAUACGGAGGAUGCGAGCGUUAUCCGGAUUUAUUGGGUUUAAAGGGUGCGCAGGCGGAAUGUCAAGUCAGCGGUAAAAUUUCGGGGCUCAACCCCGUCGUGCCGUUGAAACUGGGGAUCUAGAGUGUGCGAGAGGUAUGCGGAAUGCGUGGUGUAGCGGUGAAAUGCAUAGAUAUCACGCAGAACCCCGAUUGCGAAGGCAGCAUACCGGUGCACAACUGACGCUCAGGCACGAAAGCGUGGGUAUCGAACAGGAUUAGAUACCCUUGUA
This 464-nucleotide ribosomal RNA is filed under the name uncultured bacterium. RNAcentral's name for it is "bacterial SSU rRNA". It matches the Rfam family "Bacterial small subunit ribosomal RNA", at positions 330 to 792 of the family's 1533-position model. The record is from RNAcentral.